This 881-nucleotide long non-coding RNA is filed under the name Mus spicilegus (steppe mouse). RNAcentral describes it as "lncRNA (ENSMSIG00000012921.1)". Lineage: Eukaryota; Metazoa; Chordata; Mammalia; Rodentia; Muridae. The record is from RNAcentral.
AUAAUAUCUAAUAAAAUGCAAACUAAUAGAAAAGCACAGAUUCCCUUCUGCUACUGUUCCCAACUUCCUCUCAUGGUUCCAAGAAGCCAAGGACUAUCUGAAUUAAAGAUACCAUAGAAAUAACUUUUUUUCCUGUCACUUUAGAGAAACUGAAUCUGAACAAAGUUGAAUAGGCAGACAUCACAAAACAAGGUUUAGAAGUGGAGCAAAAAUAUUUGUCCAGUUAAUGCCUUCUGGAUUUGGAGAAUGUCGAGAAGUCCAGCUAGCUAGGAAAUAAAUUCAACGUGAUUGCUUAACCAAACUUCCUGAAUGGCCACAGUACAAAUUCAUAUCCAAUUCAAGAAUGAACGGAGCAUUGUCUAGUAAAAUGUCAUCAUUUCCUGGCUUUAAGAAGGGGAUGAGAGGAUGCGCUGAGUCUGGGUAGAAUGUUUUGGUCAGAUCUUCAAGUUGAAACCUACAAGCCAAAACAAAAGAGAAGAAAUAACAGCAGCGUCAGGAGGUCCUGGUGUACCUUGAAGCAUGGGAACCCUAAGAGGAAACUGGUGGAAGAGGCUGCAUGCAGAGGCUGGAGGAAGGAAGAGACCCAUCUGAGAAACACAAGAUGAGGCUGGCCCAUCUGCAAGGAUAGGACAGUCUAAAAAUCUGCAGAUCUCUUUCAAAAGAUCACCAUCACGAAGAGUAAUAGCAAUAGAAAAUUAUCAGCAAGCAACAAACAGCAAGAGCCAAUCACCAUUUAUGCCUUUGAGAAUCCGAAAUGCAUAAAACCCAGCCAUUCAAAUGCCCUCAAUAGGAUUUUUAAAAGAUUUUCUAUCUUCAUCUUUAAUGAUGUAUAUACAGGUGUGUCUCUGUGUGCGUUUUUACAUUCGAGUGCAAUGCCCAAG